MicroRNA precursor from Corchorus capsularis, 133 nucleotides. The record is from Rfam. NCBI's taxonomy places the organism in Eukaryota, Viridiplantae, Streptophyta, Magnoliopsida, Malvales, Malvaceae.
AGGAGAAGAGACUGUCAGAUUAGCCAAGGAUGAUUGCCUGGAAAACCAAACAGGGAAGGUUUUUAAUUUCCAAGACCUGUCAUUACAAGGUUUCAGGCAAGUCAUCCUUGGCUACCAAACAAGACUCUUGUCU